Small nuclear RNA from Jaculus jaculus (lesser Egyptian jerboa), 104 nucleotides. The record is from Ensembl. NCBI's taxonomy places the organism in Eukaryota, Metazoa, Chordata, Mammalia, Rodentia, Dipodidae.
GUGCUCACUUCAGCAGCCCACGUACUAAAGUUGGAUUGAUACAGAGAUUAGCAUGGCCAUUGUGCAAGGAUGACAUGCAAAUUAGUGAAGCAUUCCAUAUUUAA